UCUUCGGCAAUGGACGAAAGUCUGACGGAGCGAUGCCGCGUGAGUGAUGAAGGUCNUCNNAUCGUNANACUCUGUUGUUAGGGNNNNNCAAGUAUCGGAGUAAUAUGCCGGUACCUUGACGGUACCUAACCAGAAAGCCCCGGCUACCUACGUGCCAGCAGCCGCGGUCAUACGUAGGGGGCAAACGUUGUCCGGAAUAACUGGGCGUAAAGGGCACGCAGGCGGUCUUUUAAUGCUGAUGUGAAAUCCUACAGCUUAACUGUAAGCCGUCCUUGGAAACUGGGAGACUUGAGUGCAGAAGAGGAGAGUGGAAUUCCAUGUGUAGCGGUGAAAUGCGUAGAGAUAUGGAGGAACACCAGUGGCGAAGGCGACUCUCUGGUCUGUAACUGACGCUGAGGCGCGAAAGCGUGGGGAGCGAACA
Molecule: ribosomal RNA, 421 nt
Filed under: uncultured bacterium
Lineage: Bacteria
Description: partial 16S ribosomal RNA
Rfam family: Bacterial small subunit ribosomal RNA
Source: RNAcentral